UGUUGUCUCAGGCUGUGUGAAUCAUGUCUGCUUGGUUUUAUCACACCCAGCAACAGGCCACAUCAGCACUAACUGGAGGAAAAAGCAGGCACCAGUUCAACACUGAAAGAAGCUCGACUGGGAGAGCCUCUAACUAACAGCAGACCCUGCACCUGCUGGAAGGCAGUGCUAAAAUCCCACUAUGAAUCAGAUUGCUGGGACUCAUUUCCUGCCCUCUCCACUACUCAACUGUGUGACCAAGCAAAUUUCGAUGCCUGCUUCUGUCGAGCCUGGAUAACACUAGUACCUAUUUUAUAAAUUGCUACCAGGAUGAACUCUCAAGUAGAUAAUUCAUCUGAGGUGCAAGCCAAGCCGUCCUGUCAAGAAUCUACAUAGAAGAGUGAGAUUUGAUCUUCUUCCUGCUUUGAAUUCCAACAUUCACAUAUUUUAUGAUGCUGAAGACUAGAUUCUUUCAUGCCAUUAUCUUCACCGAGGAUUUUAUUUCAAAAUUUAUUAUCAUGCUGACAAUAGAGCCAAAAAAUCCACAGAAGCAAAGGCGGCUUAAACCCAAUUCGUUUUCUGGGCCAUCAUUGUCUAAGAAGAGGGGGACUGAACUUGGGAUAACCUUAAAGCAAAGCAAAGCAAAGCAAAGCAAAACAAAAACAACAACAAAACGAUAUCUCACAUCGGCAAUUGGUAAGUGCUCUAGAAACAGGUGACCUCCACACAAGUCGAAGAACAGUGCCAAUGUGGCCAAUGUUAGUUAACAUUCCUAGUUAACA
Long non-coding RNA from Mus musculus (house mouse), 761 nucleotides. RefSeq annotates it as predicted gene, 46483. The record is from RefSeq and is a predicted model, not a curated record. Lineage: Eukaryota; Metazoa; Chordata; Mammalia; Rodentia; Muridae. The transcript has 3 exons.